GAUGAAGAACGUAGCGAACGUGCGAAACGUAAUGUGAAUUGCAGAAUUCAGUGAAUCAUCGAAUCUUUGAACGCAUCUUGCGCUCCUUGGUAUUCCGAGGAGCAUGCCUGUUUGAGUGUCGUGAAUACUCUCAACUUUAACCCUUUUUUCGGAAAGGGAGGAAGGUUGGACUUGGGUGUUUGUUGAAGUGCGAGCUUCGACUCAUCCUAAAUGCAUUAGCGAUCUGCCUCGAUCACACACAAUGUGAUAAUUAAAACUAAAGCAUUGUUUAAUGAUCAAGUCGAGACUGCUUCUAACUGUCGCAAGACAAUAACGUGCAUACAUUUGUGCAUGUCAUUUGACCUCAAAUCAGGUAGGACUACCCGCUGAACUUAAGCAUAUCAAUAAGCGGAGGA
This 395-nucleotide unclassified non-coding RNA is filed under the name soil metagenome. RNAcentral's name for it is "partial contains 5.8S ribosomal RNA, internal transcribed spacer 2, and large subunit ribosomal RNA". The stretch from base 1 to 121 matches the Rfam family "5.8S ribosomal RNA", at positions 35 to 154 of the family's 154-position model. The record is from RNAcentral.